GAGACCCACGCCAACAGUUGCCAGCAUGUCCUCCGGGAUGGUGGGGACACUGUUGGGACCGCCUCUGCUAAAGAGGAGGAAGGAAUGGGCAACGGUAGGUCAGCAUGCCCCGAAUUAUCCGGGCUACACGCGGGCUACAAUGGUCAGGACAAUGGGUAUCGACACCGAGAGGUGAAGGCAAUCUCUUGAACCUGUCCUUAGUUCGGAUUGUGGGCUGCAACUCGCCCACAUGAAGCUGGAAUCCGUAGUAAUCGCGUCUCAAAAUGGCGCGGUGAAUAU
This 279-nucleotide ribosomal RNA is filed under the name uncultured archaeon. RNAcentral describes it as "partial 16S rRNA". It matches the Rfam family "Archaeal small subunit ribosomal RNA", at positions 1047 to 1325 of the family's 1478-position model. The record is from RNAcentral.